RNAcentral lists this ribosomal RNA (405 nucleotides) under uncultured bacterium. Its description in RNAcentral is "partial 16S ribosomal RNA". It matches the Rfam family "Bacterial small subunit ribosomal RNA", at positions 28 to 526 of the family's 1533-position model. The record is from RNAcentral.
GAUGAACGCUGGCGGCGUGCCUAAUACAUGCAAGUCGAGCGAAGCGGGGACGGGUGAGUAAAACGUGGAUAACCUCCUAUACAACUGGGAUCACUUAAGGAAACCGGAGCAAAACCGGAUACUUAUAGAUGGAUACGCACUGACUAAGCUAGUUGGGAAGGUAACGGCUUACCAAGGCAACGAUGCAUAGCCGACCUGGGAGGGUGAUCGGCCAAACUGGAACUGAGAUACGGUCCAGACUCCGACGGUAGGCAGCAGUAGGGAAUCGUCCGUAAGGGGCGCAAGCCUGACGGAGCAACGCCGCGUGAGUGAUGAAGGUCUUCGGAGCGUAAAACUCUGAUAUUAAGGAAGCGAUACCUAAUCAGAAAGCCACGGCUAACUACGUGCCAGCAGAAACGAUAAUUC